Prosopis cineraria is the source of this 101-nucleotide small nuclear RNA. NCBI's taxonomy places the organism in Eukaryota, Viridiplantae, Streptophyta, Magnoliopsida, Fabales, Fabaceae. The record is from RefSeq and is a predicted model, not a curated record.
GUUCCUUCAGGGACAUCUGAUAAAAUUAAAAUGAUACAGAGAAAAUUAUCAUGACCCUUGCACAAGGAUAAUACGCACAAAUAGAGAACUUAUUUAUUGAU